Delphinapterus leucas (beluga whale) is the source of this 350-nucleotide non-coding RNA. NCBI's taxonomy places the organism in Eukaryota, Metazoa, Chordata, Mammalia, Artiodactyla, Monodontidae. The record is from RefSeq and is a predicted model, not a curated record.
AAGUAUCUGAAUUUCCUGUUCUGGAGGCAUUAACUGUCUUCUUAUAUUGAAAACCUGAUCACCUGCUUAAAACUAACUGCUCAAUGGCCCAAGGAUAAAGACCACUUUUUAUCAAGGCAUCAGUGCUCCUGGUUUUCAGUUCUUCAGACUCAGACCAUUGGAUCCCCUGGUCCUCAGAGCCUUUGAGUUUGGACUGGAACCACACCACCGACUUUCCUGGGCCUCCAGCUUGCAGACAGCAGAUCAUGGGGCUUCUCAGUCUUCAAAAUCACCCGCAAAGAGAGCCCUGAUAAUCCAUGAUAUGAACUCUGUAUAGCAACAUGCAAGAUAUCUGCACUGGACCCUCCUAA